This 309-nucleotide ribosomal RNA is filed under the name Triticum aestivum (bread wheat). RNAcentral's name for it is "partial small subunit ribosomal RNA". The record is from RNAcentral. Lineage: Eukaryota; Viridiplantae; Streptophyta; Magnoliopsida; Poales; Poaceae.
AUGCUCCUAGGGGGUAGAUUGGUAGGAAAAGACCAUCGCUCGUCCCCGACCGCCACUCAUAAGGAAGACAAUCAAAAAAUAAAUCAUGCUCCGACUUCAUCACAUAACGGUUCACCAUACGUGCAUGCUACGGGAAUCACAAACUUUAACACAAGUAUCUCUCAAAUUCACAACUACUCCACUAGAAUGACUCUAAUAUCACCAUCUUCAUAUCUCAAAACAAUCAUAAAGAAUCAAACUUCUCAUAGUAUUCAAUGCACUUUAUAUGAUAGUUUUUAUUAUACCCAUCUUGGAUGCUCAUCAUAUUAG